GACGAACGCUGGCGGCGCGCUUAACACAUGCAAGUCGAACGGAAAGGCCUGCUUUCCCUUGUGGAUUGCGGGUACUCGAGUGGCGAACGGGUGAGUAACACGUGAGUGAUCUGCCCCCAACUUGGGUAUAAGCCUGGGAAACUGGGUCUAAUUCCCGAUAGGACUGCAGGGUGGUGCCUGUGGUGGAAAACGAUUUUCUAGUGGUUGGGGAUGAGCUCGCGGCCUAUCAGCUUGUUGGUGGGGUAAUGGCCUACCAAGGCGGCGACGGGUAGCCGGCCUGAGAGGGUGGACGGCCACAUUGGGACUGAGAUACGGCCCAGACUCCUACGGGAGGCAGCAGUGGGGAAUAUUGCACAAUGGGCGGAAGCCUGAUGCAGCGACGCCGCGUGGGGGGUGACGGCCUUCGGGUUGUAAACUCCUUUCGACCGCGAGGAAGCCACCUGGUUGGAAGGGUGGUGACGGUAGUGGUAGAAGAAGCACCGGCUAACUACGUG
This 494-nucleotide ribosomal RNA is filed under the name uncultured bacterium. RNAcentral's name for it is "partial 16S ribosomal RNA". It matches the Rfam family "Bacterial small subunit ribosomal RNA", at positions 28 to 507 of the family's 1533-position model. The record is from RNAcentral.